UACGUAGGGUGCGAGCGUUGUCCGGAAUUAUUGGGCGUAAAGAGCUUGUAGGCGGUUUGUCGCGUCUGCCGUGAAAAUCCGAGGCUCAACCUCGGACUUGCGGUGGGUACGGGCAGACUAGAGUGUGGUAGGGGAGACUGGAAUUCCUGGUGUAGCGGUGAAAUGCGCAGAUAUCAGGAGGAACACCGGUGGCGAAGGCGGCAUCCUGGACCGACACUGACGCUGAGGAGCGAAAGCCAGGGGAGCAAACAGG
This 253-nucleotide ribosomal RNA is filed under the name uncultured bacterium. Its description in RNAcentral is "partial 16S ribosomal RNA". It matches the Rfam family "Bacterial small subunit ribosomal RNA", at positions 524 to 776 of the family's 1533-position model. The record is from RNAcentral.